This 579-nucleotide ribosomal RNA is filed under the name proteobacterium RDB-112. RNAcentral describes it as "bacterial SSU rRNA". It matches the Rfam family "Bacterial small subunit ribosomal RNA", at positions 102 to 677 of the family's 1533-position model. The record is from RNAcentral. Lineage: Bacteria; Pseudomonadati; Pseudomonadota.
ACGGGUGAGUAAUAUAUCGGAACGUGCCCAGUAGUGGGGGAUAGCCCGGCGAAAGCCGGAUUAAUACCGCAUACGACCUAUGGGUGAAAGCGGGGGAUCGCAAGACCUCGCGCUAUUGGAGCGGCCGAUAUCAGAUUAGGUAGUUGGUGGGGUAAAGGCCUACCAAGCCGACGAUCUGUAGCUGGUCUGAGAGGACGACCAGCCACACUGGGACUGAGACACGGCCCAGACUCCUACGGGAGGCAGCAGUGGGGAAUUUUGGACAAUGGGGGCAACCCUGAUCCAGCCAUGCCGCGUGCGGGAAGAAGGCCUUCGGGUUGUAAACCGCUUUUGUCAGGGAAGAAACGGCUUUCUCUAAUACAGAGGGCUAAUGACGGUACCUGAAGAAUAAGCACCGGCUAACUACGUGCCAGCAGCCGCGGUAAUACGUAGGGUGCAAGCGUUAAUCGGAAUUACUGGGCGUAAAGCGUGCGCAGGCGGUCUUGCAAGACAGAUGUGAAAUCCCCGGGCUUAACCUGGGAACUGCAUUUGUGACUGCAAGGCUGGAGUACGGCAGAAGGGGAUGGAAUUCCGCGUGUA